This 303-nucleotide ribosomal RNA is filed under the name uncultured bacterium. RNAcentral's name for it is "partial 16S ribosomal RNA". It matches the Rfam family "Bacterial small subunit ribosomal RNA", at positions 507 to 807 of the family's 1533-position model. The record is from RNAcentral.
AGCAGUAGCCGCGGGAAUACGUAGGGUGCGAGCGUUAAUCGGAAUUACUGGGCGUAAAGCGUGCGCAGGCGGUUUUGUAAGACAGGCGUGAAAUCCCCGGGCUCAACCUGGGAAUGGCGCUUGUGACUGCAAAGCUAGAGUGCGGCAGAGGGGGAUGGAAUUCCGCGUGUAGCAGUGAAAUGCGUAGAUAUGCGGAGGAACACCGAUGGCGAAGGCAAUCCCCUGGGCCUGCACUGACGCUCAUGCACGAAAGCGUGGGGAGCAAACAGGAUUAGAUACCCGCGUAGUCCCUGUCUCUUAUAC